UACCCGCAGCACAAGUGGUGGUCAUUAUUAUUGGGCCUAAAGCGUCCGUAGCUGGCUUGUUAGAUGCCUGGGUAAAUCGAUGCGCUCAACGCAUCGAACUCCGGGUAGACCGGCAAGCUUGGGACCGGGAGAGGCGUGAGCUACUCGAGGGGUAGGGGUAAAAUCCUGUAAUCCUCCGGGGAGGACCAGUGGCGAAGGCGUCACGCUAGAACGGCUCCGACAGUGAGGGACGAAGCCCUGGGGCGCAAACCGG
Molecule: ribosomal RNA, 253 nt
Filed under: uncultured bacterium
Lineage: Bacteria
Description: partial 16S ribosomal RNA
Rfam family: Archaeal small subunit ribosomal RNA
Source: RNAcentral